RNAcentral lists this ribosomal RNA (684 nucleotides) under uncultured bacterium. RNAcentral's name for it is "bacterial SSU rRNA". It matches the Rfam family "Bacterial small subunit ribosomal RNA", at positions 106 to 788 of the family's 1533-position model. The record is from RNAcentral.
GUGCGUAACGCGUAUGCAACCUACCUUCAUCUGGGGGAUAGCCCGGAGAAAUCCGGAUUAACACCGCAUAAAAUCACAGUAUUGCAUAAUACAAUGAUCAAAUAUUUAUAGGAUGGAGAUGGGCAUGCGUGUCAUUAGCUAGUUGGCGGGGUAAUGGCCCACCAAGGCGACGAUGACUAGGGGAUCUGAGAGGAUGGCCCCCCACACUGGUACUGAGACACGGACCAGACUCCUACGGGAGGCAGCAGUAAGGAAUAUUGGUCAAUGGAGGCAACUCUGAACCAGCCAUGCCGCGUGCAGGAAGACUGCCCUAUGGGUUGUAAACUGCUUUUAUUCGGGAAUAAACCUAUCUACGUGUAGAUAGCUGAAUGUACCGAAGGAAUAAGGAUCGGCUAACUCCGUGCCAGCAGCCGCGGUAAUACGGAGGAUCCAAGCGUUAUCCGGAUUUAUUGGGUUUAAAGGGUGCGUAGGCGGCCUGUUAAGUCAGGGGUGAAAGACGGUAGCUCAACUAUCGCAGUGCCCUUGAUACUGAUGGGCUUGAAUGGACUAGAGGUAGGCGGAAUGAGACAAGUAGCGGUGAAAUGCAUAGAUAUGUCUCAGAACACCGAUUGCGAAGGCAGUUUACUAUGGUCUUAUUGACGCUGAGGCACGAAAGCGUGGGGAUCAAACAGGAUUAGAUACCCU